CCCUUAGAUGUUCUGGGCCGCACGCGCGCUACACUGUUCGACGCAGCGAGUCUUAACCUUGACCGAAAGGUUUGGGUAAUCUUCAGCAAAGUCGAACGUGAUGGGGAUCGAUCAUUGCAAUUAUUGAUCGUGAACGAGGAAUUCCUAGUAAGUACAAGUCAUCAGCUUGCGCUGAUUACGUCCCUGCCCUUUGUACACACCGCCCGUCGCUACUACCGAUUGAAUGGUUUAGUGAGAUCUCUGGAUUGACGCUGGCUAGGGGGCGACCCUUGGCCAGACUGUUGAGAAACUGCUCAAACUUGAUCAUUUAGAGGAAGUAAAAGUCGUAACA
This 331-nucleotide ribosomal RNA is filed under the name uncultured eukaryote. Its description in RNAcentral is "partial 18S ribosomal RNA". It matches the Rfam family "Eukaryotic small subunit ribosomal RNA", at positions 1470 to 1796 of the family's 1831-position model. The record is from RNAcentral.